CUCAAAAAACAAACAAAAAAAAAAACAAAACCAGAGGCUUUCUGGUUAAAUGGGUGUGUUCACUGUGAAAUCCAUCAAGCUAUACGCUUAGAUUUAUGCACUUCUCUGUAAGGAUUAAAUUUUUAAAAGUUUUAAAGGUAGUAUGUUGAGACUCUAAGUGGCUACAUUUUUAAAUAGAAAUAAGAAAAGGAGAAAGAAGAAACUCAAGAAGGUGUAUAUUCUUUGAAAGGAUGGUAAUCUAACAAUUUCUGAAAAAGGCGAGGGGUGAUUAACUCAGGGGAAAAUUGGAUCCCUGGAGAACUGUAUAAUGAGCAGACGUGGCACACACGAGUAAAAGGUGAAUCUAAAUGUGGGCGAUGGGGGGUGACCAAGAUCCUUUGUUGAGAGGCAGGUGUCCAGGGAUGGGGCAACAGCAAAUUCCCUCUCCUCAAACCCCACUACAAUUACAAAGAAGGAGCACAAACAAAUCAAUGUUUUUUUUCUUUUUAAACAAUGAUCUCUGCUUGUCCACCAUUGUGGUUAUAAUUAAAAAACUUAAUUCUUCCCCAUCCUCUAAAGUAACUUACAGGAACCCUGUAAUUAGCUUUAAUAAUUGUCUACUAAUCAGGCAUGGCAUUUUCAAAACAGAUAAGUUAGUUUUCUUUUGUAGUAUUACAUAAAUAUUUUUCUCUUGUAAUAAAACAUUUUAAUAGGUAUCUAGAAAGGUAAAUCCUAUCUCCUAAAGUUCCCCUGUUAACAUGACACUACUAAAAGGCUUGAGAAAACAUAAACUGAUUUAGAGAGUGAUUUAAUCAAAUGAACAGAUCCAAGAUAUUAAAUUUGGAAUUUUUGAUAUAGAAUGGUAGUAAGCAUUUUGAAACAAAAUACAGCCAUUUGGAAAUAAAAAGCAUUGUCUAGCAUGUGGUAUACUCUUAUAGUGAGUCCAAUGAUACUAAAUGAUUGCUGAUUCUUUUGAAGUAAAUGGGUUCAACUUUUUCUAAGGUAUCUAGGAACAUUAAGGUCUGUUCAUACCCUGUGCUGUGCUCACAAGCUUAGCCAAAUAUGGAAACAAGAAAAACUUCCAAAUCUAUUUACAUACAGAAGUCAGUACAUUAUAAAGAGAGGUUCUUGAGAAAUCUAAUGUUAAAAUCAAAUAAUGUAUGUGCUUACUUGAAAAAGAAUCUUUCAACCUUUAGAAGUAUAGGCCCUUCUGACCUUGUGUUCUAUUGGAUUUGUCUGACAACAAGAGGUGAAAGAAUUCUGUGGCUCCAUUGUCUCAACAGUGGGAUCUAAGAAAACACUGGCAGGACUCAUCAGAGAGGUUUAUGAGCCUGCAAUUCAAAGAGAUUAAAAGGGAAAUCUACGGAGAUUCUUUCACACUGAAGAAUAACAUUAAAUAACUAUUAGCAGCUUGGUUCAGUAAAGCUUACUAGAGCUCUCGCUGGGUCAUUCACAACUUUCUAAAAGAGGAAAGGUUUUUUUUCAGCUCCAUUUGGGAAUCAAUAAAUAUUUCUUACUUCUUACAAGACAAUGGAAUUCCUGUCUUUUUAAGCUUCCUUCUAAUGAUAGUAAAAUUUCUAAAACAACUCUUUGUUUCAUGCCUAAAUAAUUACACAUCCUAAUCCCAGGAAACCUUUUCUAUCUGUAGUUACAAUUUAAAAAAUAAAGUAAAAAUAAAAAAUAAAUAACAGCAACAAAAAACUACAGGGGAGAGAAAUUUAACUUUAUUCAUUAUGGCAGAGAUAUUUCAAAGUCUUAUUUAACCCCAUACUGGCCAAAAGAUCAAGUCCACCUGCAGCUCUGUCCAUAUUAUUCAUGUGUGGCAGUGCCACGUUAUUCACAUGAUCACCACAUCCCCACAAUGCUCUCAUUUAGCAAUUAGUCCACUGUGUUUAUUUUUAUGCCAUUUCAAGUGUUUAAAGUUUAUUUCACACUUAAAGACAUUGGUGUGUAAGUUAAAAAUAAAUAGCAGUUUUUCCUUUAGGUCUAAUUGAGUAUCUUGCUGUCUUAAAACCAAGUAAUUUAAUUUUAAACCAUCACCUCAUUCUUAAAGAACACUUCACUAUGCAUAAUUAAAUUUUUUAUGUAGGAAGUAACUUGAACAUAAUCAGUUUCCCUGUCUUUAACAUGUCUCUGCUCUUGAAAAAUUCUCUAACUUGAUAAGAGAUUGAGAAACAGGCAACAUUUAAUUUGAAGCCUGUUCUUUAAGUCAUAAACCCUAUAAUCCUUUCCCAGAUGAAUCUGAAGAGUCAUUAUUACAAGGCUUUCCACACUGAAGAAAAACUACAAACUUGGAACCUGCUUAUGAACUUGAAUAACUGUGGAGAUUUUAUAAACUGUAGGUAAACCCAGUGUUCACUGAAGGUACCAAAUGAAGCCCAGAAACUGAUUUCCUUCUGCUUCACUAGAAAACACGUAAAAGAGCAGCAGCAGGCCUGGUCUCUUGUUCUGACCCUCAAAUAUCACUCGUACGUGACUAUCUGGAACUACAAAUAGUAGAUUGUACACAACUCAUACAAAAUAGUGACUGAGAAAAAAUGGCUUUGAAUUCCCCUCAAUCAACUACUUUAUGUGACCUUAGUCAAAUUACUAAACCUGAAAAACAGAUAUUCUCUGAAAAACGGGUAUUAAUAUCUUCCUCACAAGGUUGUUAAACAAUGUUUAAAAGAACUACCACAGUUCUAUUGCUUAAUAAAAAUGACAGUUAUUUUUAAACUACUGUUAUCUCUCAGUGUUUGUGUUGAACUAUCUAUACCAGACCAUAAGAAAAUGACUAAAAACCAAUCCAUUAUUAGCAGGACAAAAAUACCUCAAGUACCACAGUGUAGGAAAGCAACUCUUGACUUUGGAUUUAUAAGUGUUGAAGUCUGAUGUACUUUGCUAUUGUAUGACUCAUUUUUAUCAAAGUCACAGCCUAUAUAAUUAUUCAGCCCUUCCAAAAUAUCAAACAUAGAACCAAAUGAUAGGAACCAGAUGAAAAAAAGUUCAAAAUAAUUCUAUGGUUUUAGUUCAGAGGGCACAAAUGAUGAUGGAUUAGAGUAUCAGAAGGCUCUGGUGGGUGGUAGGGAGUUGGGGGUAGGGGAGAUGGAAGGACCCAAGUUGAACCUUGAACAAAGAAUAAGAAUCAGAACAGGAGGGUGGUUCUGAUUAAUAACAAACAGUAUAAACAGAUGUGUGUCUGGGAGCCCCUAAAUGGACCAGGGGACAAAAUUCACAUUAGGUUUGAAAUAGGUAAUAAGUCGGAAAAAAUAGCAGGGACAAGCUUAAAAGCUUCUGUCCCAUUUAAAUUCCAAGUGAAUGGGUAGGUGUUAUUUUGGGAGGGUGCAGAGUUAUAAAUGUUCUUAAAUAGAGGUGUGAGAAUAAAGAAAGCUGCUAGAUCAAUCAAAAUGUAAAGUACUGUGGGAGAAGGCAGUAAUAGAGAAUGGAAGGCCAAUUAGCGGAUAUGGAAAUAAUCUGGGUAUGCUUUAUAAUCUGGGGAUGGACUACUGUGGUAGCUGUGAGAAUAAAAGCUCACACAGGGGAAACAACAUUAAAAAAGAACAAAUGUCAACUGGCAUUUCUGAUUCAUUGACUGUAACCAGAGCAAAGUAGAAGUAAACAGAGUGUAAUAUGAAACCAAGGUUGAGGAAAAAAUAAGAAAGGUGACUCAGUCAGUCUUGAUUUUGGACCCACUGAUUUCAACUGGGUCAAGUAACCAAGUGGAAGUUGGGAGAGAGGUUAAAGUUGGAAACAAAACUUCCUAAAAUUUUAGACUUCUCCAUUAUUAAAUCAGAACUCUCAAGUCUGUUCAAGUGUCCCAGAAUUAUAACUAUAAUCUUGCCCAUAGGUUUCUAUAGCAUUAUUUGAAAGUAGACAAACUUUUACUCAAAACCAAUGAAAAAUGAUCCUAAAAUACAUUUUCAUUGCACAAACAGUUAUUUGCAUUCAAGUAAAGGUAGCAAGUAGUGUGAGUAGUCAUCUUGCAACAAGUAAGUUGGGGCGAGGGAACCUGCACAGAAAGUUUUAUGUAUACUGUCUUCUCCCACUCAAGAUAAAGCCAGUCCCCAACUGUCGAGAUGGAUUUUCUGCAUCAUUUCACAUACUUAUUUUUCUCAGAAACGGUCACCAAAAAAACAUACCCCCGAUGCUUAUCUUCCACGUUUUACCUGAAGCAAAUUUUUACAACCAAUUUUGAAAUUCCUAAAAUCAAAUGGAAAUAUUAUGACCAUAAAUGGACCCUAAUCUCACUAAUUCAAGUAUUUUGUAAGGGUCAGCUUUAGGACACAAUUUCACAAAUAUCCACUGGCCUUAAGUUAUUAUUCCUAACAGUUAACCAAAAUUUAUAUUAUCUACAUAUUUCCCUCUUACGGAGUUUCUAUAACAUUAACAUGCUUUUCAGGAAGGAUUCCUAUUUUGAGUUUAAGAAAUUACAUGUUGACUUAUCUGACACAUGUUGGUGGGGUUUUAAGGUAUGUUCCUCAUUUGUUUUAAGAUUUGCUUAUCUUCCAUUCCAUUUAUUUGCUUAUCUUUCCAAAUAUUUAUCGUAAUAAAGGGAUGGAGUAAAUUGUGUAAUACAAACCAGAAAUGACCUCUUGUAUCUACCUAAGCAGAGCAGCUGAUUAGCUUUGAGCAAAGGCACACUCACUUUACAAUAUCUGGCCCAAUCCCCUCUGAGCCACGCUGUUUUGGGUAUCCAAUUAUGUAGAGUGAAGGUUCCACCUUACCAAAAUAAUUCACUAACAGAGUACUAAGAUAUAUCCUAAUAUAAAAUAAUGUAUCAGCAAGGAUUCCAAACACAAUCUACUCUUUUAAACAUUAUUUAAUCUGAUUAACUGUAUUUGAAGGUUUGCUACUCUUCAGAUCACAGAGAAGUACUUAACUCAUAAGCUGUGUCACUCUAUAGAGCCACUAAGACAUCAGGGAUCUGUGACUUUCACAUUACAAAGCUACUGAAUCAUGACAACCAUUAUUUUCCCAUGAUAUAAUUCUGAUGUGUUUUUAAUGUGCUUAAUAUAUAAGGACCACUCCCCACAAGAUUUACAAAGGCAGCGAAAUCUACUCAACAGGUAUUAUUCAUGUGAACAUUUUAUAAAUCCUGAAAGGGUUUUCCAAAGUGCUCAUCUGGUUGAAAUGCAAAGCCUAAUCUUGAAUAACUACAUGCCUUUCUGGGGAACACUGGAAGCAGCCUUUGGAGACAUCCUCAGAAGCAAUAAGGUAAAUAUGCCAACUAGAACUAAUUGAUUAAAUUCACUAGUUAACAUUACUUUCAAAAUGUAUCAUCUCUGGGAACUAAUUAUUACUCAUCUUUUUCUUAAAUUUACUUUUCUUCAGCCUGGCCAACAUUACCCUAAAAUGUCAACUAAGCAUAUAGAAGUAGGAAUGAGGGAGAAAAAAACAUACGUGCAAUACUUUAGGUUAUCUGCCCUGGAGUAUUACUUCUUCUUUAUUGGAAAGAACACAUUUGAUCAUUUCUUUUGAGAAGCAAAGAAAUACGGAUGUCAAGUGUCCCUUUAAAUUAUCUUUUAGAUAAAUAUGGCUGUGGGCGAUAUUGAUGAGGCUUUCCUUAAGACAGAGCACCAACAUGGAGCUGUGAAACAUGAGAAAGCAUUCAAGAUCAGCUAAUAAAGCAUUUCCUACCUCCUUCUCAAGUAUUACAGAGCUCAAUUUUAUUUUACACUGCAAGUUAAUGGUGGGCAGGAAACAAACAUAUUUAAAGCACACCCUAUGAAAAGAAAGGUUUACAAUGAACUAUCACCACACGUAAAAAGAGUUCUGUAUAACAAAGCUAUUUCCAUGUCUCCAGGGGGUGACACAGGAAAAAAGAGUGCUUUGACCUGGUUAUAACAAACUCUCUCUCUCAGUAACCUAUCCUGGUCUUUAACAAAUUAUUACUCUCAAAGGUUUUGCUUCCAGCAAACCUAAAUCAUCACUGUUAGAGAAGUUCAAGUUCAUUUCCUUUUUUUUGAGGAGUCAUUUUACUGAAGCUGAGUCAAGAAGAAAAAAUUAAUAAGAGUAUUCAAAAGAAGUAACAAUAUGAAAGUAGGUUUAUUGCAAGAGUUUUGAAAAAUAGCUCUGGUAUGAAAGGCUUAAAAAUAGCAAUUAUAUUUGGAUACUCUUCUUACCUAAACAGUAAGUCAAUCUCCAUUUAAAAUGGAAACAAAGUCAUCUCAGUAUCUGGAGCCUCUGGUAAAGGAGGAAAUACUUAGUACUUAAAUCUGAGGUACUAAAGUGUCAUGAAAAGCUGUCCUUCUAGAACAGCUAAAUUCAGUAAUAUGCUGCCUGAAAAACUUGCAGAGCAAACUGAUAUUUUAUAAAUUCCAAACUAUUUAUCUGAAUCAUGAAUCAGGUCCAACUCUCACAGUAUUUAGUUGGUCUAAACUUCAUUGUGACCUCAUCUAUGACCUACAGGAGUACCCUGUGACACAGCAGGCCACAGGUGCUUCCAUUAAGAGCUUAAAAGUAGGACUCAAAGCUCAAAAGAAAUCCACAGUUCUAAGGACCUUUCGAAGACAAUGAAAAAGUCAUGAAUAUGAAACCUGGACCACCACCAAAUGGAUCUGCUGGUACACAGACUUCAGAUAAGAAGAAACUGGAGACUGAACUCUAACCACGUUUCUUUGUUCUAAAUUUCCUCCUGAGUGGCUUGGAGGAAGUCAUGCCCAUGGGACAGACCUAAUAUUCUUUUCUGCUGACCCCACGUCUUUACACAAAGCUCUCCUUCGUUAACCAACUGCAAAUCAAAAACUGUUUGAAUCCGCCUAUGAUUCGAAAUGCUCCUGUGGACCUAAAAUGUACAACUGUUCUUUAAAUAAAACUUCAACUGAUUUAACUUUAUAAGCUACAGGAAACAACAAGUGAAAUGAAAUAUACUAACGUAUAUAGGUAUACAGGGGCUCAGGACAAAAGAAUCCCCUGCCCAAAGAGCCUGAAGUCAAGACGAAGCUUAUAUCUCUGGCUGUGGGUAGAAAAAGAAGCAAG
Non-coding RNA from Macaca mulatta (Rhesus monkey), 6936 nucleotides. The record is from RefSeq and is a predicted model, not a curated record. Lineage: Eukaryota; Metazoa; Chordata; Mammalia; Primates; Cercopithecidae.